CCUGAAUUACACAAGACAUUAUUCCAUACCAAGUGACAUCACAGUGGAAGUCAUAAAGCUGGUGGCAGUUAGUUGGGGGCUGGCUGUUGCUUGAGCAUUGAUCUGCAGGUAAUCUGAGCAGCAACAUCAUGUUUGUUCCCUUUCACUGGACAAAGACCAAGAGGAGGAAGAAAAACGUAAGGAGCGAGUCCCACUGCCUCACUGCAGCCGGAACAGCCUUCAAACACCAAUGCCUGCCUUUCUACCACACAUUUUGCCUUGGGGCCUAUGGGGAUCCAGCUGUGUUUAGAAAAGAAGGGCUUUCUCACAUCUUAUCAAACUCCCUCAGCACCUCUCUUCAUUUACAGUUGGCAAACACGGCCCCUAACGCAGAACAAGACCUGCCCUGUGAUCCAGCAGGCUUCUGUUACUCAGCUGCCUGCCCGCCAGCGAUGUGUUGGCAUGAUCUGUGCAGCACUUUCCAUAUGCAACUGUUGCCCUGGUUUAAAACUAAGCAUCUCCUGAACAAUCUUCCCCCGUAGCCCUCCCUUCAAGGUUUUGCUGUUCACAUUUCACUUUCUAAACACCUCUCAAGGCCUCAACCCCAGGUCAACUUCAGAAACUAAUUAGAAACAUCAAGGCCUCCCAACCCUCCCACAAGUGAAUUUCAGCCAUCCUCUGUUUACUUUAAUAAAUUUUUUUCUUGCUAGAUUAAUGGAA
Coturnix japonica (Japanese quail) is the source of this 699-nucleotide non-coding RNA. NCBI's taxonomy places the organism in Eukaryota, Metazoa, Chordata, Aves, Galliformes, Phasianidae. The record is from RefSeq and is a predicted model, not a curated record.